GGAAACGGUAGCCAUGGCAACGUGUUCUUCACCCUUUCCCAUCUAUGCCUGGGGUUUCGUUGGAAGUGAUUCCAGCACGACUUUCGCGGCCAGCUUUCUCGUGUGGCGGCGCUUCUCGGAAAGAAGAAACACACGAGAGAGUCCUAACUUAAACUGGAUUGUUUUUCAACUCUGAUCUGUCCCCUGGUUGGCAUCUCUCACCUUCCA
This 207-nucleotide long non-coding RNA is filed under the name Homo sapiens (human). RNAcentral's name for it is "non-protein coding lnc-C12orf73-5:1". Lineage: Eukaryota; Metazoa; Chordata; Mammalia; Primates; Hominidae. The record is from RNAcentral.